GAUGAACGCUAGCUACAGGCUUAACACAUGCAAGUCGAGGGGCAGCGGGAUUGAAGCUUGCUUCACUUGCGGGCGACCGGCGCACGGGUGAGUAACGCGUAUCCAACCUUCCGUACACUCAGGGAUAGCCUUUCGAAAGAAAGAUUAAUACCUGAUGGUAUGAUGAGAUUGCAUGAUAUCAUCAUUAAAGAUUUAUCGGUGUACGCUGGGGCUGCGUGCCAUUAGGUAGUAGGCGGGGUAACGGCCGACCUGGCCAACGCUGGAUAGGGGUUCUGAGCGGAAGGUCCCUGACAUUGGAACUGACCCACGGUCCAAAGUCCUACGGGAGGCAGCAGUGCGGAAUAUUGGUCAAUGGACGAGAGUCUGAACCAGCCAAGUAGCGUGAAGGAUGACGGUGCGACGGAUUAUAACCUUCUUUUAUAAGGGAGUAGACGCCCGCACGUGUGGGAGCUUGUAUGUACCUUAUGAAUAAGCAUCGGCUAACUCCGUG
This 490-nucleotide ribosomal RNA is filed under the name uncultured bacterium. RNAcentral's name for it is "partial 16S ribosomal RNA". It matches the Rfam family "Bacterial small subunit ribosomal RNA", at positions 28 to 507 of the family's 1533-position model. The record is from RNAcentral.